UGAUAUAGAAACAUGGAAAUUUAAUUGAGGAGGUCUUUCCCAGUACAAACAAUACCUUCAGACUUCAUCCAAGAUUCUGAUGAAAGUAUGUUUACAGGCAUCAGACUUGUCACUUCUGGGCAUGCUGGUAGUGGUACUUGCAUGAGACGCCAUUAGUGCUUAGGGAGAAGUGAUGGUGAGGGAGAGAGAUGAAGGUCAGAGAUCUGGAAUACAGAGGAAAAUUGUCUAAUCAGAAAUCACAGCUCCCAUCAGGCACAGACAAUAGAUGGUAAACUGGCUUCAGAACUAUUCAGGCAUCAAGGGAGACAAAUCAACAGACCUCAGGAACAGACUUCCAGAUCUUAGGUCUUCUCAUACCACUGGACAGGUAAACAUGCCUGAAGUGAUUGUGCAGAACACUUCAUAAAAAGAAAGAAAUGAGGUAAUCUGUCCUAAUUGGGUCUUGUCCUGAAUGCAUUGUCAAGUCCUCCUAUGAAAUAAGUUUUCUUUCCUUCCCCUUAUACUUCUCUUUAUCAUUAGCUAUUGUAACUAAAUGUUGUUUCUUUUAUAAAGCCAAGUAUUCCUUCGAAUCUGGCUGAGCCUUUGACCACAAUUACAUUGCAGCAAUGAGUUCUACUUAAGGUUUCUCCCUCAAUUUUUCUUUAAUCACCAAAAAUACUUUUUUUUUUUGAAAAAGAAAAGUUUGCAUUUUUAAACAGCUUUUUCAUUUAAGAAAAAUGGAUUAAAAAUUCCAGGAUAGACUUCUUUUCUAUCUUUUCAAAUGAACUCACAUUCAGGAAAGGCUUAGUUUGGAAGAUGUCAUACAGAAAGAUAAAUGUUUGAAGAGCUAUUGCUCUUUUUAUUAGAACCUUAGGUUGUUAGAGAAGCAAACAAAAAUAAAUCACCAAAGACAGAGCUUGCUUGUUGAAGACCUCAUCAUCAUCCAAGUUGCCAAACUGGGACAGGAGUGAAAAAUAUUGCCCCAUCACUGUUGCAUCCAAUUCAAGGUCAGUGAUCUUCAAAGGAAUUGCAAUAAUAAGGAAAACUACCUCAAAGAAAGGAAAUUGGGCAACAGAGGAUACAGAAAGAUUGGAAGCUCCAUAUCUGAUAGACCUAUGCAUUUUCUAAUUCAUUAUCCUCUCUUUCAGCAAGGCCCAUUCCAGCCAUAUCAGAAGAUGGUUCAAGAAACUUUACAGCAGGGUAAUCUAUAGAAAAAUGUGCCUGCACAGAGUUUAUGGCCCUUAUUCUAUAAAGCUUGCUUUCUGCUGUUCUACCUGUUACACUGGAUACAUAUGCAUGCGUGCACGCACAAAACCCCCUCUAGGUGUUUUGGCUUGCAGUACACUAUUGGGUAUUUUUCAGGCUUUUUGGAAGGCAGCUAAGCUGCUGACCUGUUUGCUCCUGUGCAGCAUAAAAUCCUCAGGCUAAUAAUAAACACACUGUUGAAAAGA
Pezoporus flaviventris is the source of this 1430-nucleotide long non-coding RNA. RefSeq lists it as uncharacterized. The transcript is spliced from 3 exons. The record is from RefSeq and is a predicted model, not a curated record. NCBI's taxonomy places the organism in Eukaryota, Metazoa, Chordata, Aves, Psittaciformes, Psittacidae.